AAGGCUUUAAGUUAAAUAAAACUAAUAUCCUUCAAAGCUAUAAAUAAAGAAAAAUCUUUAAGCCUUA
RNAcentral lists this transfer RNA (67 nucleotides) under Hodotermes mossambicus. RNAcentral describes it as "tRNA-Trp". Lineage: Eukaryota; Metazoa; Arthropoda; Insecta; Blattodea; Hodotermitidae. The record is from RNAcentral.